Molecule: long non-coding RNA, 350 nt
Filed under: Numida meleagris (helmeted guineafowl)
Lineage: Eukaryota; Metazoa; Chordata; Aves; Galliformes; Numididae
Description: lncRNA (ENSNMEG00000019120.1)
Source: RNAcentral
AAGACAGAGGAGAAUGUCUUUCCUUCAACCUCAGGGAAAAGGCUGGUGUCCAUCAGAAUCCCACCCUGCUGUGGGCAGCUGGGCUGUGCAUAGGUAGCAGCAAACCAAAAGCCAAACCAACUUAAAAUAGCAGAGGUUAUGAAUGAUGCCACAGAGUGAUCAGAGAUAUCCAAAGCAAGGGAAAGAUAUAAAAGAUAUUUAACAGUUUGCAUCGGUGUUUCCGUGUCUUGCCUGGAAGUCUUUACAAUCACCCCUGUAUCUGAGUUACAAGCAUUUCAACCAGCCAAUCAGAGAACUAAGGCAAACUCUAACUACUACAUGACCACUGAUGUGCCCUGAAUAGAAGGUGA